This 65-nucleotide transfer RNA is filed under the name Leucosyrinx sp. MNHN IM 2013-19304. RNAcentral describes it as "tRNA-Ser". The record is from RNAcentral. Lineage: Eukaryota; Metazoa; Mollusca; Gastropoda; Neogastropoda; Turridae.
AGUUAUUUCCUGGGGACAGUUUGUCUUGAAAAUAAAUUUAAAGUGUUCGAUUCACUUGGUAGCUU